This 766-nucleotide long non-coding RNA is filed under the name Corvus moneduloides (New Caledonian crow). RNAcentral describes it as "lncRNA (ENSCMUG00000016834.1)". Lineage: Eukaryota; Metazoa; Chordata; Aves; Passeriformes; Corvidae. The record is from RNAcentral.
GCGGGACCGUGCGGGGGGGCGGAGUCUCCCUUAAAGGCGCCCUGCGCCUCCGCCGCUUCCGCGCCCGGGCGGAGCCGUGACCCGCGCGGGGAUCCCCGCGGCGCGGGGGCUCCUCCCGCCCAGGGGCCCCGACCACCCCCGCCGGUGGCAGCUCGGACUGCUCCUGCCCACAAAAUGCUUCUCUGGCCUCCAUGGGAUGAAAAGGAUGAAAAAUUAUCCAAGAUACCACAAAAAUAAACAGAUUAAAAAAAGAAUGAGUACAAGCCAGAUGGGAUUUUUAAAGAGUCAGCUGAAGGAAGCUCUAGGCCAUAGCUGACUUUUGCUAUAUUCUGGGAAGGAACUGUCCUCGCCAGAGCUACAGGGAUACUAGUGUGUUUGACCAGGUAAGCUAUUCUCAAAAGCUUCUCUAACAUCAGGUCAUCCAAAGAAGAUACUUCCCUGUAAUGCCAGACACUGCUUUUGGUUUUCCUUAAAUAUUAGGCUUGAUUUCCCUGGUGGAAUACAGAUCAUAUGAACAGAACUAUUACUAUUUUUCUCUUUCAUUUACACAAGUGUAGAAUACCUAAAAGUAAGAAAUGGGCUGACAUGAGAUCAUUUCAAUAAGAUGAUACACUAAACAGUAGAUUUCCUGAAAAUACUGGCAUGUGCUUUUUUCCCUGUUAGCUUCAUCCUCAACUGUACCAAAGAGCUUUCCAGUACCAAAUAACAAAUAUCCUGCACUUACCAGGAGAUGUAUGUUCUUUCUCAUCCACAACAUCUAGUCUGU